AUGAAGCCAUUCCUGUCAGUGAUGCAUGCAAAGGCCCACUCCUGGAAAUGUGAGAUUAAAUGGGGUGGUCGAAACCAAGAAGGAGCAGGCACCACCCUGGGCGAAGAGGUCGAACAAGUAAACAGCUUCUUGUCAAGAACUGCUAUAUGCAGUAAAUACAUGACCAAAGGAGCUAGAACAGACAUGAUUACUAUUCAGGCCAUGGCAUGGAAUAAACGCAAAAUUGAGAACCUUGCAAAAUUGUUGUCCCGAAGAUUACAAAAG
Molecule: non-coding RNA, 264 nt
Organism: Danio rerio (zebrafish)
Lineage: Eukaryota; Metazoa; Chordata; Actinopteri; Cypriniformes; Danionidae
Source: RefSeq, a predicted model, not a curated record